Molecule: transfer RNA, 72 nt
Filed under: Marmota monax (woodchuck)
Lineage: Eukaryota; Metazoa; Chordata; Mammalia; Rodentia; Sciuridae
Rfam family: tRNA
About the family: Transfer RNA (tRNA) molecules are approximately 80 nucleotides in length. Their secondary structure includes four short double-helical elements and three loops (D, anti-codon, and T loops).
Source: Rfam by way of RNAcentral
GGGGUUGUGGCUCAGCGGGACAGCACACCUCUAGCACAUGUGAGGCCCUGGGUUCCAUCCUUAGUACCCCCA